This 403-nucleotide ribosomal RNA is filed under the name uncultured bacterium. RNAcentral's name for it is "partial 16S ribosomal RNA". It matches the Rfam family "Bacterial small subunit ribosomal RNA", at positions 28 to 526 of the family's 1533-position model. The record is from RNAcentral.
GACGAACGCUGGCGGCGUGCCUAAUACAUGCAAGUCGAACGCAGGGGGGACGGGUGAGUAACACGUGGGUAACCUCCCAUCAGAGGGGAUAACACUUGGAAAAUGGUGCUAAACCGAUACUGAUGUAGGGACCCGCGGUGCAUUAGCUAGUUGGUGGGGUAACGGCUCACCAAGGCCACGAGGCAUAGCCGGCCUGAGAGGGUGAUCGGCCACACUGGGACUGAGACACGGCCCAGACUCCUACGGGAGGCAGCAGUGGGGAAUUUUGGACAAUGGGGGAAACCCUGAUGCAGCCAUCCCGCGUGUGUGAUGAAGGCCUUAGGGUUGUAAAGCACUUUUGGCAGGAAGGCGUUACCUGCAGAAUAAGCACCGGCUAACUACGUGCCAGCAGCCGCGGUAAUUC